This 300-nucleotide ribosomal RNA is filed under the name uncultured Phycisphaera sp. RNAcentral's name for it is "bacterial SSU rRNA". The stretch from base 52 to 300 matches the Rfam family "Bacterial small subunit ribosomal RNA", at positions 547 to 795 of the family's 1533-position model. Lineage: Bacteria; Pseudomonadati; Planctomycetota; Phycisphaerae; Phycisphaerales; Phycisphaeraceae. The record is from RNAcentral.
GCAAAUGUGGGGCCUGCGGGGGGGGUAAUUGUGAGGGGGAGAGGGUGUAUUGGUUUUGCUGGGCGGAAAGGUGGCGUAGUGGGGUUUUUAAGGCGGAUGUGAAAUCCCCGAGCGUAACUGGUGAAUUGGUUUCGAGACUGGGAAGCUAGAGUAUGGGAGAGGGUGGUAGAAUUCCAGGUGUAGCGGUUAAAUGCGUAGAGAUCUGGAGGAAUACCGAUGGCGAAGGCAGCCAUCUGGCCUAAUACUGACGCUGAGGUACGAAAGCAUGGGGAGCAAACAGGAUUAGAUACCCUAGUAGUC